UAUAAUUUAAAGUCGGGCCUGCCCACUGAGAAAUUGAAGGGCCGCAGUAUUUUGACUGUGCAAAGGUAGCAUAAUCAUUAGUUUUUUAAUUGAAAGCUGGAAUGAAUGGUUUGAUGAAAAAAUUACUGUCUUAAAUUUAAUUUUAUAGAACUUUAUUUUUAAGUUAAAAAGCUUAAAUGCUUUUAAAAGACGAGAAGACCCUAUAGAGUUUAAUUUAUUUAAAAUUAUAAAUUUUUAGAAUUUAAUAGUUUUUAGUUUUAAAUAAAUUUGAUUGGGGUGAUUAAAAAAUUAAAUGAACUUUUUUUUUAUAAAUACAUAAAUUAAUG
Molecule: ribosomal RNA, 326 nt
Filed under: Rhyzobius litura
Lineage: Eukaryota; Metazoa; Arthropoda; Insecta; Coleoptera; Coccinellidae
Description: partial 16S ribosomal RNA
Source: RNAcentral